GAUGACCCCAGCUUGCGGGGGGAUUAGUGGCGAACGGGUGAGUAACACGUGAGUACCUGCCCUUGAUCUGGGAUAACCUGGGAAACUGGGUCUAAUACCGGAUAUGACUCCUCAUCGCAUGGUGGGGGGGGAAAGCUUUUGCGGUUUUGGAUGGACUCCGGCCUAUCAGCUUGUUGGUGAGGUAAUGGCUUACCAAGGCGACACGGGAGCCGGCCUGAAGGGGACCGGCCACACUGGGACUGAACCGGCCCAGACUCCUACGGGAGGCACAGUGGGGAAUAUUGCACAAUGGGCGCAAGCCUGAUGCACGACGCCGCGUGAGGGAUGACGGCCUUCGGUUGUAAACCUCUUUCAGUAGGAAGAAGCGAAAGUGACGGUACCUGCAAAAACGCCGGCUAACUACGUGCCACACCGCGGUAAUACGUAGGCGCAGCGUUAUCCGGAAUUAUUGGGCGUAAAGAGCUCGUAGGCGGUUUGUCCGUCUGCCGUGAAAGUCCGGGGCUCAACUCCGGAUCUGCGGUGGGUACGGGCAGACUAAGUGAUGUAGGGAGACUGGAAUUCCUGGUGUAGCGGUGAAAUGCGCAAUAUCAGAGAACACCGAUGGCAAGCAGGUCUCUGGCAUUAACUGACGCUGAGACGAACAUGGGAGCGAAAGAUUAGAUACCCUGGUAUCCAUGCCUAAACGUUGGACUAGUGUGGGGACAUUCCACGUUUUCCCGCCUAGCUAAGCAUUAUGCCC
This 739-nucleotide ribosomal RNA is filed under the name Arthrobacter sp. RNAcentral's name for it is "bacterial SSU rRNA". It matches the Rfam family "Bacterial small subunit ribosomal RNA", at positions 68 to 870 of the family's 1533-position model. Lineage: Bacteria; Bacillati; Actinomycetota; Actinomycetes; Micrococcales; Micrococcaceae. The record is from RNAcentral.